RNAcentral lists this ribosomal RNA (347 nucleotides) under uncultured bacterium. RNAcentral describes it as "partial 16S ribosomal RNA". It matches the Rfam family "Bacterial small subunit ribosomal RNA", at positions 338 to 699 of the family's 1533-position model. The record is from RNAcentral.
CCUACGGGUGGCAGCAGUGGGGAAUAUUGGGCAAUGGGCGCAAGCCUGACCCAGCAACGCCGCGUGAAGGAAGAAGGCUUUCGGGUUGUAAACUUCUUUUCUCAGGGACGAAGAAAGUGACGGUACCUGAGGAAUAAGCCACGGCUAACUACGUGACAGCAGCUGCGGUAAUACGUAGGUGGCAAGCGUUAUCCGGAUUUAUUGGGUUAAAGGGGCGUGUAGGCGGGAGCGCAAGUCAGAUGUGAAAACUCAGGCCUCAACCCUGAGCCUGCAUUUGAAACUGUGUUUCUUGAGUGCUGGAGAGGCAAGCGGAAUGCCGGGUGUAGCGGUGAAAUGCAUAGAUAUAC